This is a long non-coding RNA of Hirundo rustica (Barn swallow), 639 nucleotides long. RefSeq lists it as uncharacterized. NCBI's taxonomy places the organism in Eukaryota, Metazoa, Chordata, Aves, Passeriformes, Hirundinidae. The transcript is spliced from 3 exons. The record is from RefSeq and is a predicted model, not a curated record.
UUCCGGCCCGAUCCAGGUGAUUAUCAGGCGGAGGCUGCAGGAGAAAGGGCUCAUUAACGCGACGCUAAUUGCCCCUCCCUGCCCUGCCAGAGGCACGAGAAAGGAGAUUAAAGUUCUUGCUGGGGGAGAGCGAAAAAAAAACCACCUCGAUAAACCCUCUGGAGCAAUCCUGGGAAAUGUGUCCCUGCCGGUUUUAUUUCCUUGGAUCACAGAAAGGGAAGUUCCUGUGCCGGGUUUGUGUCUGGGGAUCUUCGUUCCCUGCUGGAAUUACGGGUUUGGAUGUGGCUCUGCUGCUCUGAAGUUGUCAUUUAAUGCGGAAAACACCGUGACGAACCCCGCCAGCAGCACGGGUUUGGUCUCCUUCCAAGGAAACAAAGCUCCGCGUUCCCACGGGGAACAGAGAAUUCCCAGCACGAAUAUGGGAAGGAGGAAGGAGAACAGCUCGUGCUGCCCCCAGCACCUCUCCAGGCUCUGAGGAUGGUUUCCCUCCUUCCCAAGGCCCACGCAGCAAUAAAUCGCCCUGCAGUAUCACGGGAAUGGUUAACCUUGAUUUCAGCUCUCGCAACACCUCCUUCCCCCGUGCAAGGUCGAAUUCCAAAUAAUCCUUCGGAGAGGAAUGAAAUAAAGCCGGGGCUGCUC